Long non-coding RNA from Erpetoichthys calabaricus (reedfish), 366 nucleotides. RefSeq lists it as uncharacterized. The transcript has 3 exons. The record is from RefSeq and is a predicted model, not a curated record. Lineage: Eukaryota; Metazoa; Chordata; Cladistia; Polypteriformes; Polypteridae.
UGGACAGGUGAUUGACAGCUGGGUGUUGUAAUGGCCAGCACUGUCACUGUAGAGAUGGGCGGGCCCUGGACAGGUGAUUGACAGCUGGGUGUUGUAAUGGCCAGCACUGUCACUGUAGAGAUGGGCGGGCUCUGGACAGGUGAUUGACAGCUGGGUGUUGUAAUGGCCAGCAUUGUCACUGUAGAGAUGGGCGGGCCCUGGACAGGUGAUUGACAGCUGGGUGUUGUAAUGGCCAGCAUUGUCACUGUAGAGAUGGGCGGGCCCUGGACAGGUGAUUGACAGCUGGGUGUUGUAAUGGCCAGCAUUGUCACUGUAGAGAUGGGCGGGCCCUGGACAGGUGAUUGACAGCUGGGUGUUGUAAUGGCC